UACGUAGGGUGCGAGCGUUGCUCGGAAUCACUGGGCGUAAAGGGUGCGUAGGCGGCCGCGCAAGUCUGGCGUGAAAGCCCCGGGCUCAGCCCGGGAAGGGCGCUCGAAACGGCGCGGCUCGAGUGCCGGAGGGGAGAGUGGAAUUCCUGGUGUAGCGGUGAAAUGCGUAGAUAUCUGGAGGAACACCGGUGGCGAAGGCGGCAUUCUGGACUGCAACUGACACUGAGAGACGAAAGCCAGGGGAGCAAACGGG
This 253-nucleotide ribosomal RNA is filed under the name uncultured bacterium. RNAcentral describes it as "partial 16S ribosomal RNA". It matches the Rfam family "Bacterial small subunit ribosomal RNA", at positions 524 to 776 of the family's 1533-position model. The record is from RNAcentral.